Molecule: non-coding RNA, 255 nt
Organism: Lonchura striata (white-rumped munia)
Lineage: Eukaryota; Metazoa; Chordata; Aves; Passeriformes; Estrildidae
Source: RefSeq, a predicted model, not a curated record
GCCGGGGAGAGAGAGUGGGCGCCGCUGUCCCGCUUCUACGGAAGCCUUGUCUGUCCCACAGCUCAGACUUAAUGAUCAUGUGGCUUUGUUGUGUUUAUGCGACUGGCAUGCUGAUGAAUGAACUGAUCAAUGUCUCUUAGUGAUUUACCCAUGGAAAAAAUCUAUAUUAUAUCUGUACUUUUAAAGAUCUUGGAAGUGUUUGAUCAUUUUAAUUAUCCUAUUCUUUACUGAAAGGUAAUAAAGCAUUAAUUUUGU